GGAGGGUGUAGCUCAGUGGUAGAGCAUGUGCUUCGCAUGCACAAGGUCCUGGGUUCGAUCCCCAGCACCUCCA
RNAcentral lists this transfer RNA (73 nucleotides) under Vicugna pacos (alpaca). RNAcentral describes it as "tRNA-Ala (CGC) (tRNA-Ala-CGC-5-1)". It matches the Rfam family "tRNA". Rfam says of the family: Transfer RNA (tRNA) molecules are approximately 80 nucleotides in length. Their secondary structure includes four short double-helical elements and three loops (D, anti-codon, and T loops). Further hydrogen bonds mediate the characteristic L-shaped molecular structure. tRNAs have two regions of fundamental functional importance: the anti-codon, which is responsible for specific mRNA codon recognition, and the 3' end, to which the tRNAs corresponding amino acid is attached (by aminoacyl-tRNA synthetases). tRNAs cope with the degeneracy of the genetic code in two manners: having more than one tRNA (with a specific anti-codon) for a particular amino acid; and 'wobble' base-pairing, i.e. permitting non-standard base-pairing at the 3rd anti-codon position. Lineage: Eukaryota; Metazoa; Chordata; Mammalia; Artiodactyla; Camelidae. The record is from RNAcentral.